RNAcentral lists this non-coding RNA (831 nucleotides) under Dasypops schirchi (Rio Mutum frog). RNAcentral describes it as "partial small subunit ribosomal RNA". It matches the Rfam family "Bacterial small subunit ribosomal RNA". Lineage: Eukaryota; Metazoa; Chordata; Amphibia; Anura; Microhylidae. The record is from RNAcentral.
CCUUUUUAUCAACUCAUUCUUGUCUUACACAUGCAAGUAUCCGCACACCCGUGAGAACGCCCUCUACCCCUCCCCCAGGACGAGGGGCCGGUAUCAGGCACAGCCUUCUUGCCCAUAACACCUAGCCACGCCACACCCUCAAGGGUAUUCAGCAGUGAUAAACAUUGUUCAUAAGCGCCAGCUUGAACCAGUCAAAGAAAACAGAGCCGGCAAACCCGGUGCCAGCCGCCGCGGCUACACCGUCGGGCUCAAAUUGAUAAACACCGGCGUUAAGCGUGAUUAAAGUGAAGCCUUAUAUAGAAUUAAACCACAACCAAGUCGUGACACACUUGUUCGUGAGAAACCCAAAACGAAAGCUAUUCUAGUUUACCCACUUGAAACCACGACAGCUAGGACACAAACUGGGAUUAGGUACCCCACUAUGCCUAGCCGUAAAAUAUUAACUUACAACACCAACCGCCAGGGAAUUACGAGCCCAAGCUUAAAACCCAAAGGACUUGACGGUGUCCCACCCACCUAGAGGAGCCUGUUCUAUAAUCGAUUAUCCCCGCUACACCUCACCAUUUCUAGCCUAUUCAGCCUGUAUACCUCCGUCGUAAGCUUACCAUGUGAACGACUCAAGUGAGCCAAAAGAUUUUUCCACCAACACGUCAGGUCAAGGUGCAGCUAACGAAAUGGGAAGAAAUGGGCUACAAUUUCUAACCUAGAACAAACGAAAGACCACAUGAAACUCAGUCAUGAAGGCGGAUUUAGCAGUAAAAAGAAAACAGAGUGUUCUUUUUAAUUAGGCGCUGGGACGCGUACACACCGCCCGUCACCCUCUUCAAAUGC